AGUGAACGCUGGCGGCGUGCUUAACACAUGCAAGUCGAACGAGAACGGAAUAUAGCUUGCUAUAUUUGUCAGCUAAGUGGCGCACGGGUGAGUAAUGUAUAGAUAACCUGCCCUAAAGAAAGGAAUAACAGUUGGAAACGACUGCUAAUGCCCUAUAUGCCUCUAAUACAUAAGUAUGCAAGGGAAACGCUUUAGUGCUUAAGGAUGGGUCUGUAUGGUAUCAGCUUGUUGGUGAGGUAAUGGCUCAUCAAGGCUAUGACGCCUAACUGGUUUGAGAGGAUGAUCAGGCACACUGGAACUGAGACAUGGUCCAGACUCCUACGGGAGGCAGCAGUGGUGAAUAUUGCACAAUGGACGAAAGUCUGAUGCAGCAACGCCGCGUGGAGGAUGACACAUUUCGGUGCGUAAACUCCUUUUAUAUAGGAAGAUAAUGACGGUACUAUAUGAAUAAGCACCGGCUAACUCCGUGCCAGCAGCUGCGGUAA
RNAcentral lists this ribosomal RNA (485 nucleotides) under uncultured bacterium. RNAcentral describes it as "partial 16S ribosomal RNA". It matches the Rfam family "Bacterial small subunit ribosomal RNA", at positions 29 to 523 of the family's 1533-position model. The record is from RNAcentral.